Molecule: ribosomal RNA, 572 nt
Filed under: uncultured Glomeromycotina
Lineage: Eukaryota; Fungi; Glomeromycota
Description: SSU rRNA
Rfam family: Eukaryotic small subunit ribosomal RNA
Source: RNAcentral
UUGGAGGGCAAGUCUGGUGCCAGCAGCCGCGGUAAUUCCAGCUCCAAUAGCGUAUAUUAAAGUUGUUGCAGUUGAAAAGCUCGUAGUUGAAUUUCGGGAUUGACGUGAUGGUCAUGCCUUAAGGGGUAUGAACUGUCACAGUUGAUUUCUCACCUUCUGGAGAAACUUGAUGUCCUUUAUUGGGUGUCUUGCGGAUCCAGGACCUUUACCUUGAAAAAAUUAGAGUGUUUAAAGCAGGCAUUUUUGCUCGAAUACAUUAGCAUGGAAUAAUAGAAUAGGACGGCAUGGUUCUAUUUUGUUGGUUUCUAGGAUCACCGUAAUGAUUAAUAGGGAUAGUUGGGGGCAUUAGUAUUCAAUUGUCAGAGGUGAAAUUCUUGGAUUUAUUCAAGACUAACUACUGCGAAAGCAUUUGCCAAGGAUGUUCUCAUUAAUCAAGAACGAAAGUUAGGGGAUCGAAGACGAUCAGAUACCGUCGCAGUCUUAACCAUAAACUAUGCCGACUAGGAAUCAGACGAUGUUAAUUUUUUAAUGACUCGUUUGGCGCCUUACGGGAAACCAAAGUGUUUGGGUUC